CGCCUCUUGACUACAUAUAAGAGGUCCAGCCUGCCCAGUGACCCUGUUCAACGGCCGCGGUAUCCUAACCGUGCGAAGGUAGCGUAAUCACUUGUUCUUUAAAUGAGGACUAGUAUGAAUGGCAUCACGAAGGUUAUACUGUCUCCUUUUUCCAAUCAGUGAACCUAAUCUCCCCGUGAAGAAGCGGGAAUAUAAAUAUAAGACGAGAAGACCCUAUGGAGCUUAAGACAAUACAGCACUUACUAUAAAAUAUAAAAAUUUCAGAAUCUCUUACUUCUCAAGUAACAUGACUGUAAGUUUUCGGUUGGGGUGACCACGGAGCAUAAUAUAACCUCCAUGUUGAAAGAAUCCUAUUCUAAGCCAAAAAUUACAUUUUUAAGCAUCAACAAAUUGACAUUUAUUGACCCAAUAUAUUUGAACAACGAACCAAGUUACCCUAGGGAUAACAGCGCAAUCCACUUCAAGAGCUCCUAUCGACAAGUGGGUUUACGACCUCGAUGUUGGAUCAGGGUUUCCCAGUGGUGCAGCCGCUACUAAAGGUUCGUUUGUUCAACGAUUAAAACCCU
Molecule: ribosomal RNA, 566 nt
Filed under: Peltophryne guentheri (Guenther's Caribbean toad)
Lineage: Eukaryota; Metazoa; Chordata; Amphibia; Anura; Bufonidae
Description: partial 16S ribosomal RNA
Rfam family: Bacterial large subunit ribosomal RNA
Source: RNAcentral